UGCCACAGCUCGCAACAUAAAUAUCGAUAACUCCACUGUCUCACGAUAACAAACAAGCGGUCAUCACUAAGAACAAAAACGCAAGGAAAGCCAAGCGCUCCCACCCAACCAUGGAUGCCCUCAAGAUGUUGCAGGGCACCACCCAUUCUCAGUCGGCAGGAGCCCCCUCCUCGCGACUACGGCGGUUCCAUCUCCCCCACUGGAAAAGCUUACUCAAACAUAGUGGGUUUUACAAAGGUUUAAUAAAUAUCCCUUUAAGACCGAAACCUGGCCUCCGUCUCAAAUAUUUACGCGGUCAAAGCAGAGGAUUUGUUUUGCUGGAAAAGGGUACAGGCGCCGCGGAAAUUAUGCUCUACCAGCCAUGUAUUGCUAGAGCUCGCAUGGAAACGCGGCCCGCAAAGGAACAUGCGCGAAGCGCGUGUGUAUGGUCACCUAAUCCUGAGGAGCUCCAGGGGAAAAGAAGGGACAGGCCAAAAAGGCAAACAACGAGGACAAAUAAGGCUCUCGGGUCUAACUCCGGAUAAAUUCACAAACAGGGAAGUAAAUAUCAAUAUAUAUAUAUAACCAAGGUACACGUGUAUUUAAUUUUUCCUAAACUUCAGCUACUAUUGGGCCGGGCCUGGAGGCGAUGGUAGCCCGGGCUAAGGACUUCCCGCCGGAGGCCAGCAGCGAUACAGGUCUCCAAGAAGGAAAACUGGCGCUCUCCGGUGAGUUAUGGCGAUACUUCUCAGCGCCGCGAUGCGACGGCUGGAAUUUCCCGGAACGGAAUCACCGGGAAAUAUCUGAUGUCGUCGCCGUCGACUGUGAAAGGCUUUUGUGGCAGGUCGUUGGUACGGGUCGAACGGACACCGGUUGCUGGGCAGCCAAGUCGGGGUGGUAGGUAUGGCGAAGUCGCGCAGACAUCAGUGAACUCCCAAAUAAAUAUUCCGGGGCCCUUUGUGUUGGGACCCCGGCUGCUAUUUAAUUUUAA
Drosophila suzukii is the source of this 970-nucleotide non-coding RNA. The record is from RefSeq and is a predicted model, not a curated record. Lineage: Eukaryota; Metazoa; Arthropoda; Insecta; Diptera; Drosophilidae.